Homo sapiens (human) is the source of this 331-nucleotide long non-coding RNA. RefSeq lists it as uncharacterized. Lineage: Eukaryota; Metazoa; Chordata; Mammalia; Primates; Hominidae. The transcript is spliced from 2 exons. The record is from RefSeq and is a predicted model, not a curated record.
CCGGCUUCAAAAUUCAGAUGACUACACACCCCAGUUCCCUCUCAGCCAGGCCACCUUCCUUAGAGAACAACCAAACCCACACCAAAAGGUGAACACAAGCUGAAUCACCAGGACUCAUCAGCAGCGAGGCUUCCUUGGUCCUUUCCCUAGAAAUUCAGGCUCCUGUACUGAAAAAAAUGAAGCAGCUGGAAGCAGUCUUGAGCCCAUAAAUCUGUACCCACUGCAGGGGUCCCGAACUUUUUGUGGGGGGCACACCCCUUUGAAAAUCUAAUAAAAUGAUCAACCCUCUCUUGGGGAAAAAAAGCAGACAUCCAAAUUUUGGCUGACAAUU